RNAcentral lists this transfer RNA (90 nucleotides) under Solirubrobacterales bacterium. RNAcentral's name for it is "tRNA-Ser". It matches the Rfam family "tRNA". Rfam says of the family: Transfer RNA (tRNA) molecules are approximately 80 nucleotides in length. Their secondary structure includes four short double-helical elements and three loops (D, anti-codon, and T loops). Lineage: Bacteria; Bacillati; Actinomycetota; Thermoleophilia; Solirubrobacterales. The record is from RNAcentral. RNAcentral also lists the same sequence under 3 other names.
GGAGGGGUGGCAGAGCGGUUGAAUGCGGCGGUCUCGAAAACCGUUUCGGGGGAGAUUCCUCCGACGAGGGUUCGAAUCCCUCCCCCUCCG